Molecule: long non-coding RNA, 368 nt
Organism: Xyrauchen texanus (razorback sucker)
Lineage: Eukaryota; Metazoa; Chordata; Actinopteri; Cypriniformes; Catostomidae
Exons: 3
Source: RefSeq, a predicted model, not a curated record
GGAUGAGAUUCUUCGCUCUAAACUGCAACUACCUAGGAGGGACACUGAGGAAGGCAAUGGCUCAUGCAUGCUUUAUACUGAGUGGUGACCCCACCUGCAUGGACUCUGAUGCAUGUUUGUCAUUUGAGAUGUUCCGUGACCUGUACAUCUAUCUGGGAGAUUUGGACCGAGAGGUUUCCCAGGCCCAGGUUGACACAGCACUUACUUACCUGGAGGCCCAAGCGAAGGCAAAUAAUGGCAUGGUGAAAGUGUCUGAUUUCAUCAGUAGUCAUAAAGUGUGUUUGGGAUGAGCAUCUAAUGGGAUAACAAGAGUAGGAGAGCAGGCUGAAACCUCAUCCACCCUUUUCCCAGGAGGCAAUAAAAACCAG